This 465-nucleotide ribosomal RNA is filed under the name Vreelandella stevensii. RNAcentral's name for it is "partial 16S ribosomal RNA". It matches the Rfam family "Bacterial small subunit ribosomal RNA", at positions 338 to 795 of the family's 1533-position model. The record is from RNAcentral. Lineage: Bacteria; Pseudomonadati; Pseudomonadota; Gammaproteobacteria; Oceanospirillales; Halomonadaceae.
CCUACGUGAGGCAGCAGUGGGGAAUAUUGGACAAUGGGCGAAAGCCUGAUCCAGCCAUGCCGCGUGUGUGAAGAAGGCCUUCGGGUUGUAAAGCACUUUCAGUGGGGAAGAAAGCCUUGGGGCUAAUACCCACGAGGAAGGACAUCACCCACAGAAGAAGCACCGGCUAACUCCAUGCCAGCAGCCGCGGUAAUACGGAGGGUGCGAGCGUUAAUCGGAAUUACUGGGCGUAAAGCGCGCGUAGGCGGUCUGAUAAGCCGGUUGUGAAAGCCCCGGGCUCAACCUGGGAACGGCAUCCGGAACUGUCAGGCUAGAGUGCAGGAGAGGAAGGUAGAAUUCCCGGUGUAGCGGUGAAAUGCGUAGAGAUCGGGAGGAAUACCAGUGGCGAAGGCGGCCUUCUGGACUGACACUGACGCUGAGGUGCGAAAGCGUGGGUAGCAAACAGGAUUAGAUACCCCUGUAGUC